Molecule: long non-coding RNA, 280 nt
Organism: Tupaia belangeri chinensis (Chinese tree shrew)
Lineage: Eukaryota; Metazoa; Chordata; Mammalia; Scandentia; Tupaiidae
Exons: 3
Source: RefSeq, a predicted model, not a curated record
GGGCACUUUUCACCAGUAUCCAGUCUGCUAGUGGCUGGGAAAGGGUCCAGCAGAGCCAUGGGCAAGCACUCUCCUACUCGAAGCUGAAGAGCAGUUCUCAUGAUGACAUCUUGUGAAGAGGCUGUUUGGAAAUCUGAUAAGGGUGACUCAAUAUAGUGAGAAGGACUUGUUCCACCUGCCAGGAAUACAUAGAUUCAGUGAAAAGCUUGUCAAGCCUAAAAUACAGCACCUUGCAGGAAUACCACAAACAGUAAGACUUUCUUAAUGAUGUAGCAGCAAG